GUCGAGAAUCUUUCACAAUGGGGGCAACCCUGAUGGAGCGACGCCGCGUGGAGGAUAAGGUCUUCGGAUUGUAAACUCCUGUCAUGCGUGAACAAGGUUGCUUGGAUAAUACCUGAGCAAAUUGAUGGUAGCGCAAGAGGAAGAGACGGCUAACUCUGUGCCAGCAGCCGCGGUAAUACAGAGGUCUCAAGCGUUGUUCGGAAUCACUGGGCGUAAAGGGUGCGUAGGUGGCGUGGCAAGUCAGAUGUGAAAGCCCGGGGCUCAACCUCGGAACUGCAUCCGAUACUGCCAUGCUAGAGUACUGGAGAGGUGACUAGAAUUCUCGGUGUAGCAGUGAAAUGCGUAGAUAUCGAGAGGAAUACCAAAGGCGUAGGCAGGUCACUGGACAGUUACUGACACUGAGGCACGAAGGCCAGGGGAGCGAACGGGAUUAGAAACCCCGGUAGUCC
Molecule: ribosomal RNA, 449 nt
Filed under: uncultured bacterium
Lineage: Bacteria
Description: partial 16S ribosomal RNA
Rfam family: Bacterial small subunit ribosomal RNA
Source: RNAcentral